UUAGUUUUGUUUCAUCAUAUCUUUUGUUCACGGUCGUGCGAUAGCACCAGGCUAUGGAACCUUGUUUGACGCAGUGCAAUGUUUCGGAGGAUUCGAACCGUGUCAUGAUCAUGGGGACGUCAGUUGCACUGUUUUUUGUAAGAUAUAUAAGUAUGAUUUUGGUGUAUGUACUAAAUAUAGCGGAUGUUGUUGUCAUGUACAUAUUGAUAAUUAAAUCUGUCCAAGAUGAAUUGAACUAAUCAAAA
Long non-coding RNA from Capsella rubella, 245 nucleotides. RefSeq lists it as uncharacterized. The record is from RefSeq and is a predicted model, not a curated record. The transcript has 2 exons. Lineage: Eukaryota; Viridiplantae; Streptophyta; Magnoliopsida; Brassicales; Brassicaceae.